GAUGAAGAACGCAGCGAAAUGCGAUAAGUAAUGUGAAUUGCAGAAUUCAGUGAAUCAUCGAAUCUUUGAACGCACAUUGCGCCCGUCAGUAUUCUGGCGGGCAUGCCUGUUCGAGCGUCAUUACGCCCCUCAAGUCCCCUGUGGACUUGGUGUUGGGGAUCGGCGAGGCUGGUUUUCCAGCACAGCCGUCCCUUAAAUUAAUUGGCGGUCUCGCCGUGGCCCUCCUCUGCGCAGUAGUAAAACACUCGCAACAGGAGCCCGGCGCGGUCCACUGCCGUAAAACCCCCCAACUUUUUAUAGUUGACCUCGAAUCAGGUAGGACUACCCGCUGAACUUAGGCAUAUCAAUAAGCGGAGGA
RNAcentral lists this unclassified non-coding RNA (358 nucleotides) under soil metagenome. RNAcentral's name for it is "partial contains 5.8S ribosomal RNA, internal transcribed spacer 2, and large subunit ribosomal RNA". The stretch from base 1 to 120 matches the Rfam family "5.8S ribosomal RNA", at positions 35 to 154 of the family's 154-position model. The record is from RNAcentral.